Molecule: unclassified non-coding RNA, 174 nt
Filed under: uncultured fungus
Lineage: Eukaryota; Fungi
Also listed under: 1 other name
Description: sequence contains ITS1, 5.8S rRNA gene
Source: RNAcentral
CUGAGUGAGGGCCCUCUGGGUCCAACCUCCCACCCGUGUUUAUUGUACCUUGUUGCUUCGGCGGGCCCGCCCUUGUGGCCGCCGGGGGGCAUCUGCCCCCGGGCCCGCGCCCGCCGAAGACACCAUUGAACUCUGUAUGAAGAUUGCAGUCUGAGCUUUAAGCUAAAUUAGUUA